GCCCACUUCAACAGCAUAUACUAAAACUGGAGCAAUAUAGGGAAGAUUAGCUUGGCCUCUGCACCAGUAUGGCAGAAAAAUUCAUGUUACAUAUUAAAAUACA
This 103-nucleotide small nuclear RNA is filed under the name Sciurus vulgaris (Eurasian red squirrel). The record is from RNAcentral. Lineage: Eukaryota; Metazoa; Chordata; Mammalia; Rodentia; Sciuridae.